RNAcentral lists this unclassified non-coding RNA (240 nucleotides) under soil metagenome. Its description in RNAcentral is "partial contains 5.8S ribosomal RNA, internal transcribed spacer 2, and large subunit ribosomal RNA". The record is from RNAcentral.
AAGACUAUAGACCUGCGGAGUACCUGCGGAAGGAUCAUUAUUGAAUAUGCUUGAUGGGUUGUCGCUGGCCUCUUGGGGCAUGUGCACGCCUUUCUUGAUUCUAUUCAUCCACCUGUGCACCUAUUGUAGUUCUCUGGUUUCUGUUUCUAAAGGUCAAGGAAAGCGGCUUCACUCGGUCUAAGUAUAGACCGGAUUUGGGACUUGCCUUUGGGCUCUUCUCUCUGAGUCGUGGAACGACGU